UCCCAGUUCGGAUUACAGCCUGCAACCCGGCUGUAUGAAGCUGGAAUCGCUAGUAAUCGCAAAUCAGAAUGUUGCGGUGAAUACGUUCCCGGGUCUUGUACACACCGCCCGUCACACCAUGGGAGCCAGGAAUGCCCGAAGCCAGUGGCCUAACCGCAAGGGAGGAGCUGUCGAAGGCAGGCCCGGUAACUGGGGUGAAGUCGUAACAAGGUAAC
Molecule: ribosomal RNA, 215 nt
Filed under: uncultured bacterium
Lineage: Bacteria
Description: partial 16S ribosomal RNA
Rfam family: Bacterial small subunit ribosomal RNA
Source: RNAcentral